GGAUCCAGACUUUGAUUAUGGCUCAGGAUGAACGCUAGCUACAGGCUUAACACAUGCAAGUCGAGGGGAAACGACAUCGAAAGCUUGCUUUUGAUGGGCGUCGACCGGCGCACGGGUGAGUAACGCGUAUCCAACCUGCCCAUCACUUGGGGAUACCUUGCGAAAGUAAGACUAAUACCCAAUGACGUCUCUAGAAGACAUCUGAAAGAGAUUAAAGAUUUAUCGGUGAUGGAUGGGGAUGCGUCUGAUUAGCUUGUUGGCGGGGUAACGGCCCACCAAGGCAACGAUCAGUAGGGGUUCUGAGAGGAAGGUCCCCCACAUUGGAACUGAGACACGGUCCAAACUCCUACGGGAGGCAGCAGUGAGGAAUAUUGGUCAAUGGGCGAGAGCCUGAACCAGCCAAGUAGCGUGCAGGAUGACGGCCCUAUGGGUUGUAAACUGCUUUUAUAAGGGAAUAAAGUGAGUCUCGUGAGACUUUUUGCAUGUACCUUAUGAAUAAGGACCGGCUAAUUCCGUGCCAGCAGCCGCGGUAAUACGGAAGGUCCGGGCGUUAUCCGGAUUUAUUGGGUUUAAAGGGAGCGUAGGCCGGAGAUUAAGCGUGUUGUGAAAUGUAGACGCUCAACGUCUGCACUGCAGCGCGAACUGGUUUCCUUGAGUACGCACAAAGUGGGCGGAAUUCGUGGUGUAGCGGUGAAAUGCUUAGAUAUCACGAAGAACUCCGAUUGCGAAGGCAGCUCACUGGAGCGCAACUGACGCUGAAGCUCGAAAGUGCGGGUAUCGAACAGGAUUAGAUACCCUGGUAGUCCGCACGGUAAACGAUGGAUGCCCGCUGUUGGUCUGAAUAGGUCAGCGGCCAAGCGAAAGCAUUAAGCAUCCCACCUGGGGAGUACGCCGGCAACGGUGCAACUCAAAGGAAUUGACGG
RNAcentral lists this ribosomal RNA (923 nucleotides) under uncultured Bacteroidota bacterium. Its description in RNAcentral is "bacterial SSU rRNA". It matches the Rfam family "Bacterial small subunit ribosomal RNA", at positions 1 to 916 of the family's 1533-position model. The record is from RNAcentral. Lineage: Bacteria; Pseudomonadati; Bacteroidota.